Non-coding RNA from Caenorhabditis elegans, 21 nucleotides. NCBI's taxonomy places the organism in Eukaryota, Metazoa, Nematoda, Chromadorea, Rhabditida, Rhabditidae. The record is from Ensembl.
UAAAUAUUCUUUCGGCUAGCU